Molecule: ribosomal RNA, 342 nt
Filed under: Vibrio vulnificus
Lineage: Bacteria; Pseudomonadati; Pseudomonadota; Gammaproteobacteria; Vibrionales; Vibrionaceae
Description: bacterial SSU rRNA
Rfam family: Bacterial small subunit ribosomal RNA
Source: RNAcentral
UUUAAUUGAAGAGUUUGAUCAUGGCUCAGAUUGAACGCUGGCGGCAGGCCUAACACAUGCAAGUCGAGCGGCAGCACAGAGAAACUUGUUUCUCGGGUGGCGAGCGGCGGACGGGGGAGUAAUGCCUGGGAAAUUGCCCUGAUGUGGGGGAUAACCAUUGGAAACGAUGGCUAAUACCGCAUGAUAGCUUCGGCUCAAAGAGGGGGACCUUCGGGCCUCUCGCGUCAGGAUAUGCCCAGGGGGGAUUAGCUAGUUGGUGAGGUAAGGGCUCACCAAGGCGACGAUCCCUAGCUGGUCUGAGAGGAUGAUCAGCCACACUGGAACUGAGACACGGUCCAGACU